RNAcentral lists this ribosomal RNA (848 nucleotides) under Cellulosimicrobium funkei. RNAcentral's name for it is "bacterial SSU rRNA". It matches the Rfam family "Bacterial small subunit ribosomal RNA", at positions 8 to 869 of the family's 1533-position model. Lineage: Bacteria; Bacillati; Actinomycetota; Actinomycetes; Micrococcales; Promicromonosporaceae. The record is from RNAcentral.
AGAGUUUGAUCCUGGCUCAGGACGAACGCUGGCGGCGUGCUUAACACAUGCAAGUCGAACGAUGAUGCCCAGCUUGCUGGGCGGAUUAGUGGCGAACGGGUGAGUAACACGUGAGUAACCUGCCCUUGACUUCGGGAUAACUCCGGGAAACCGGGGCUAAUACCGGAUAUGAGCUACCUUCGCAUGGGGGUGGUUGGAAAGUUUUUCGGUCAGGGAUGGGCUCGCGGCCUAUCAGCUUGUUGGUGGGGUGAUGGCCUACCAAGGCGACGACGGGUAGCCGGCCUGAGAGGGCGACCGGCCACACUGGGACUGAGACACGGCCCAGACUCCUACGGGAGGCAGCAGUGGGGAAUAUUGCACAAUGGGCGCAAGCCUGAUGCAGCGACGCCGCGUGAGGGAUGAAGGCCUUCGGGUUGUAAACCUCUUUCAGCAGGGAAGAAGCGCAAGUGACGGUACCUGCAGAAGAAGCGCCGGCUAACUACGUGCCAGCAGCCGCGGUAAUACGUAGGGCGCAAGCGUUGUCCGGAAUUAUUGGGCGUAAAGAGCUCGUAGGCGGUCUGUCGCGUCUGGUGUGAAAACUCGAGGCUCAACCUCGAGCUUGCAUCGGGUACGGGCAGACUAGAGUGCGGUAGGGGAGACUGGAAUUCCUGGUGUAGCGGUGGAAUGCGCAGAUAUCAGGAGGAACACCGAUGGCGAAGGCAGGUCUCUGGGCCGCAACUGACGCUGAGGAGCGAAAGCAUGGGGAGCGAACAGGAUUAGAUACCCUGGUAGUCCAUGCCGUAAACGUUGGGCACUAGGUGUGGGGCUCAUUCCACGAGUUCCGUGCCGCAGCAAACGCAUAAGUGCCC